UACAGAGGAGCCAAGCGUUGUCCGGAUUGACUGGGCGUAAAGCGCACGCAGGCGGCCGCGCGCGUGGGGUGUGAAAUCUGGCCGCUUAACGGCCAGGCGCCAUCCCAUACGGCGCGGCUGGAGCCAUGCAGAGGGCGGUGGAAUUGCCGGUGUAGUGGUGAAAUGCGUAGAGAUCAGGAAGAACACCCGUGGCGCAAGCGGCCACCUGGCAGAGUUCUGACGCUGAGGCACGAGAGCGUGGGGAGCGAACCGG
Molecule: ribosomal RNA, 253 nt
Filed under: uncultured bacterium
Lineage: Bacteria
Description: partial 16S ribosomal RNA
Rfam family: Bacterial small subunit ribosomal RNA
Source: RNAcentral